This 466-nucleotide ribosomal RNA is filed under the name uncultured bacterium. Its description in RNAcentral is "partial 16S ribosomal RNA". It matches the Rfam family "Bacterial small subunit ribosomal RNA", at positions 28 to 507 of the family's 1533-position model. The record is from RNAcentral.
GAUGAACGCUGGCGGCGUGCUUAACACAUGCAAGUCGAACGAUGAAGCCCAGCUUGCUGGGUGGAUUAGUGGCGAACGGGUGAGUAACACGUGAGUAACCUGCCCUUGACUCUGGGAUAAGCCUGGGAAACUGGGUCUAAUACUGGAUAUGACUUCUCAUCGCAUGGUGGGGGGUGGAAAGAUUUAUUGGUUUUGGAUGGACUCGCGGCCUAUCAGCUUGUUGGUGAGGUAAUGGCUCACCAAGGCGACGACGGGUAGCCGGCCUGAGAGGGUGACCGGCCACACUGGGACUGAGACACGGCCCAGACUCCUACGGGAGGCAGCAGUGGGGAAUAUUGCACAAUGGGCGCAAGCCUGAUGCAGCGACGCCGCGUGAGGGAUGACGGCCUUCGGGUUGUAAACCUCUUUCAGUAGGGAAGAAGCGAGAGUGACGGUACCUGCAGAAGAAGCGCCGGCUAACUACGUG